Molecule: long non-coding RNA, 1451 nt
Organism: Pteropus alecto (black flying fox)
Lineage: Eukaryota; Metazoa; Chordata; Mammalia; Chiroptera; Pteropodidae
Exons: 5
Source: RefSeq, a predicted model, not a curated record
CAUCAGACAGUGAGCCCAGGAGCAGAAGCUGUAGCCUGUACAGAGAGCAGGAGGCCCUGAUGUAGAUCCUGAGCUACCAUGGGUCAGAAGUCCCCAUUAUAGAUGAGAAAGAGAAGCGUGGAGGUAGAGAAAAGGCCAGGUAGAGGUUGAGGAUGUGAGCAGGUAGCAGGGGACAAGGCAGAAAAAGAUGCAGGUGCUUGAAGGGUAGCUAAGCCACAUAGAUGUGUCAACAUAAGAACAUCCAAACCUACAGAAAAAUGGUAUAAGAGUUUAUUAAAGCCAAAAUGAGGACAUGCCUGGAAGCAAGAUCUUAUCAGUUUAUAGUAAAGGAAACAGAAGCCAAUGGCAGAGAAGUCACUUGACCAAAGUCACCCAGCUGAUAUUCUGCUGGGUGCUACAAGACAGCAGAGGUGACACAAACAUAUUUCCUGCCCUCUGGGGAUCUCACAUUAUAGUUGGGAGAUAGGAUAGAUGCACAUAGAUGAUAAAAGGCUAUGUCCGAUUUAUGCCAAAUGCAUGGCACACACAGUAAAGGCAAUAGAAGUCCAGAGUGAGGAGUGACACUGUGUGGGAUGAAGAAGGACUUCAUGGAGGAGACAAGGAUAGAGAAGUUGGAGAGAACUCAGAAGUCCUUCCAAGCUAAUAACAGGGCAGAAAGUAACAUUUUGAAGGAGAUAAAGAGAACUGGGAUUAUUCAACCUGAAGAAGAAAGGUGGCUCAAAGGGUCAGAAGCAGAGUGAUCCCAGCCUGGCAAUUUAAGGAAUUUUCAGGCGGCAUUCAUUCUCAGGUAUCAACUCAGGCUUGCAGGAGCCUCUGAGUGGGCACUUUACUUGCUCCACUCAUCUCAGGCCUGUCCUGCUCUUGAGCAAUUUGUAAUCUCAGGUGCAGACUCACUCAGUUUAACAUACCCUGGAGAGGACUUUCAAGGAUCUCAGAAUCUACUGGGUGAGUCAGAAAAAUAAACAGGCAUAGACUGCACAAUGUGAUAAUCAGAAAUGGAGAUAAAGACCCAGAGGUGGCAUCUAAUCUAGACUGGUGGGAUAGAGUGGAAGGCCAAAGGGAUGACAGCAGAGCAGAGUUUGAAGGAUUAACCUGUAGGAGAUAACCAACAUCACAGACUCUCCUAUAAUGGCAUCACAGCCUAGUUAAUCCAUCAGGAGGACAAUUUGGCCUAGGCCCACUCCCAGAUCCUAUGAUUGUGCCUGUAGGACAACAACCACCUCUACAGAAAGUGAAAAGCCCACCAGAUGCUUCCAAGGCUCAGAGGGCUGGUGUCACAGAGGCACUGGCCCACAUUAGUCAGCACAAGGCAGGCCCAUGGGAGCCUGGUAAUGUCCCCAUUGACAGGCAGAUCUCACCAACCACCCUAUAGCCAGGCCACUAGCAUCUUGCUCCUUGGGGAGUGAAGGCACUGAGAUCAUGAAUCAUGCCAUCCCCCAAUUACUUUGAAU